UGGGGAAUAUUGCACAAUGGGCGCAAGCCUGAUGCAGCAACGCCGCGUGAACGAUGAAGGUCUUCGGAUCGUAAAGUUCUGUUGCAGGGGAAGAUAAUGACGGUACCCUGUGAGGAAGCCCCGGCUAACUACGUGCCAGCAGCCGCGGUAAUACGUAGGGGGCUAGCGUUAUCCGGAAUUAUUGGGCUUAAAGGGCAUCUGGGCGGUAAGACAAGUUGAAGGUGAAAACCUGUGGCUCAAACAUAGGCUUGCCUACAAAACUGUUGAACUAGAGUACUGGAUAGGUGGGUGGAACUACACGAGUAGAGGUGAAAUUCGUAGAUAUGUGUAGGAAUGCCGAUGAUGAAGAUAACUCACUGGACAGAAACUGACGCUGAAGUGCGAAAGCUAGGGGAGCAAACAGG
Molecule: ribosomal RNA, 404 nt
Filed under: Verrucomicrobiota bacterium
Lineage: Bacteria; Pseudomonadati; Verrucomicrobiota
Description: Verrucomicrobia bacterium partial 16S ribosomal RNA
Rfam family: Bacterial small subunit ribosomal RNA
Source: RNAcentral